UCUCUCUCUCUCGGCGACUCAUGAACAGAUCUGUGAGGAUUUCAUAAGAUCUAGGGUGUUACUUUCAUUCGAUUUCAAAUCCAUGACCGGUGUUACUUUCAUUCGAUUUCAAAUCCAUGAACCCUUCCUGUGACGGUGUGGUGUGCAAAUGGUUGAAGAUGGAUCCCUAGCCGUCGCAUCUGGUGAAGAUGGUGGUGGUUAUUUUUUUAUCUAUUUAAACGAUUUGUUGAUUUGAACAGGUUUUCACCAUAGAUCUUCUUUGGGUUUUUUGUACAGGUUUCCCCUAAGAUGGUUGAAGAUGGAUUCCCAAGCCCUAACGAUGUCACAAUCAGAGCUCAUUGAUCAUGCCGAUUUGGACUUUUUAUCGGCACUUUUGGGUAUCUAGAUCCUGAGUACUCCAUGACCGGGCACUUAACUAGGAAAUCAGAUGUUUAAACAGCUCCAGAAAAAAGCGCUCGACAAUGGCUGAUGUUGUGGUUACUCUUCAGCAAUCAUUGGCAUUGCAGGAGCAAUUUGACAGUUCUGCGCAUGCUGCAGGUUCAACGGGGUUCACCUUUAAAAUGCAGUAUCUACUUUUCGGGCCUAGACAUAACUCUGUAGAAUAGUGGUAUAUGAUAGUCCAUUUAAGAAGCAUAGGAAGUUAACGAAGAUAAGCAUGAAGUGCAAGACACAUUUAUCUUACAAAAUAACCUUUUCUGUAAGUACAUGGAUGACAAA
This is a long non-coding RNA of Helianthus annuus (common sunflower), 717 nucleotides long. RefSeq lists it as uncharacterized. The record is from RefSeq and is a predicted model, not a curated record. The transcript has 3 exons. Lineage: Eukaryota; Viridiplantae; Streptophyta; Magnoliopsida; Asterales; Asteraceae.